Molecule: long non-coding RNA, 1472 nt
Filed under: Ursus maritimus (polar bear)
Lineage: Eukaryota; Metazoa; Chordata; Mammalia; Carnivora; Ursidae
Description: lncRNA (ENSUMAG00000008397.1)
Source: RNAcentral
UCCUGCAGGGCCCCGGGACAGCUGAGAAUCUGGUCCUGUCACUCCUGCCUCAGAUAACGGCGCUGGCUCCCUGGAUCCCCCCCUUUGCCCUUCUCGUCCCUCAGUCUGUCCACAGCUGUCUGGGUGACCUGACCUUCCUUGGUCUGUGACCUUCAACGGCAGGGCACAGAGAUGGACAGAUGAGACCCGACCCCCGACUUCACACACGGGGAGACAGCCUCAGAGAGGGGAGGCAGCAUGUCCAGGUCUCUGCUCAUCUUCCAGCAGGAAGAAAGAGGAAGAGAGAAAGUACAGAGGACGAACCGUGGGCCAGCCCUUCUCUGAAGGAAAACCAAGGCUUCUGCCGAUGCCUCACUCCCAGAUGGCUGUUUCACCACGAUGGGGCUCCUGUCCCCGUCCCCGAGGCUCCUUCCCAGACCAGGACUCUCCCGCUUCUGAUUUCUCAUCUUCUCUGCUGUCUCCUGGCGGCCUCUGCGCCCGUGGCCCUAUCAACCCAGCUCUGGCACCUCGAGGUCCGUGGCGCAGGUGACCCUACGACCACCCCACCGAUGGCCGUCCUUGCUGGCUAUGGAGGACGAGGGGAGGGCCACACUGGCCUUGGCCCCCAUGCUGAGAUGGCGCUGUGUCUGAAGGGCCUCCCGAGGGCACAGGCAAUGGGAGCAGUGACCUGGGGCCCUAGGCUCGUCCUCAAAGGGUCUCGUCUUGGCCCCACGGGUUUCUACUGAACGUCACCCGAGGGGGCAACAGACCCAUCUUCCUUGGAACUUUUAAACUAAGAGCCAGCCUUUCCUCCCGGGGCCUGGACAACAGUGUUUCCCUGUUCCCAUGUUCUCUUUGUCAUCUUUUCAAGCUUCCCCGGGACCCUCCUCUCCUGAUUCUCUCUCCUUCGCUGGGUUUCCCUCUGUCUUGCUCCCCCUGCAGCUUCUCUGAGAAUCACAGCAUCGUGCUAAUUUACUUCUAGAACAUUCUCUCCUGUGCCUGAGCUUAACGGGGACAGCACGCCCAUGCUGCCUCUGGCCUCUGUCCUCACCUCCCAUCCGAGACCUGCAGGCCACCAUGACAGCCCCCAAGCCCCGUCUCAGGCCCUGGGCAUGCACACUCCUUCCAGUCCCGGCUUUCUUUGAGAGUCCUCCAAAACCCACCGUCAACCACCAGGGGCUCUAACCUGUGUGCCGACAAUGUGAUGCUUGGAGGUGGUGCAGCCACUUUGCAGCCAGGAAGCCACGGGGAGGAAGAUGGUAGAACAGUAAGAGCAGAAAAGCCUGCGUCCCGGAUGGUGGCCUUGCCUCAGCACCAGUUCCACUCGUCUCUGGGCUUUUGUCAUGUGGACCAGAACCAUUCAUGCUGCUGUCAGCGUCUCCACGGCUUGCUGCCGCACACACCCCUACUGGGCACAGGCUUCAGAGCCUUUACGGGCGGGGAGGCCAGAGUUAGGAAAUAAAAACACGGGUGCUCAGUUAAAUUUGGAUUUC